UCCUUGGACAUCCGGGUGGCCCCUGAUCUGCAGAAGGGCAGCAAGGGUGGUCCAGGGAGU
This 60-nucleotide non-coding RNA is filed under the name Sus scrofa (pig). Lineage: Eukaryota; Metazoa; Chordata; Mammalia; Artiodactyla; Suidae. The record is from RNAcentral.